GCACUUCGGUAGGAAAAUGGGACAAAAAAUUCGAUAAGAUGGAAGAAUUAGACAAUAUUCACAACAAACAAGUAAAUAGAACAAGGGAGCACCAUGGACUUGGUAGAACAACAUGAUAGACCCAAAAGAGCAACAUCACAAUGCCUCCGGAACAAGAGAAUAUGAACUAGCUCAAGCGGAAGAAGAGAAUGAAGAAAAGAAUGACAACUACCAUCACAAUAGAAUUGAAGAGCCUCCGGACAAAGAAUUGACGUAGUAGUUGGGAAACAAACAACAAAAAUAAC
RNAcentral lists this long non-coding RNA (284 nucleotides) under Hordeum vulgare. RNAcentral describes it as "long non-coding RNA (HVUL_LNC006556)". Lineage: Eukaryota; Viridiplantae; Streptophyta; Magnoliopsida; Poales; Poaceae. The record is from RNAcentral.